AGUCAGGCUGCAAUCAGAAGGGGAACUGUCUGCAUCAGGAUUUUUCUACCGAUUUGCCUGGAAAAUAAUCUCUUCGUGAUUCAUUUCACGGGCCAGGAAAGGAGGUAAAUCCUGCAUAACUCCCAAGAGUCUCUACAUAGGCUCUCUACUUGACCAUCCUCUUUGGUCCAUCAAACCAACCAUCCAUCCUUCCACUCAUUCACUAAUUCAAGAAAUUGAUAAACAACUUAUUUUGGUAGAUUCUGGAAAUAGCGAACACAUUUGAGUAGCUCUCUGCUUUGGAACUUUACAGUCCUGGAGGAGACUCAAACAGCAAAAUCAUCACCUGUGAUAAAGUGUGAAGCAAAGCACAGAAGGCUCUAAGGUUUUCAUGGAGAAGAGCUUCUGGGAGAAGAAUCUUCAUGUGGUAACAGUAGGAGAAAGAACCCUACUGGCAAGAUGAAAAUCAAUGGAAAACAUCUGGGCCCUUUCCAACUAGGAUCUUUUUCCCAACUUAUUUUCUAGUAAGACUUUGAUUUUUAAUAAGAAUGGAUUCCAUUGCCUUCCAUCAUUAAGCCCAAACUUGUGCCCCAGGGAGAGGCAAUCACAUCAGUUCCUCCCAUUCCUGUUUCAUCUUACAGAACAGCAGAGAAGAUGAGCAUAUUAGAUCUUUGUUCAUUGAUUAAAGCCAGCCUUGCUUGGAAUACAUACCGAGUAGGGGUGUUUUCUUAAAUCAAAGCAGAAGAGCUUUCAUUUCCUGAGGUCCAAGCAAAGAGGAGAACUGUCAGGGUUUGCCCAAGCACCACUCAGUGACCUGGAUAUGUGAGGGGUGAAAAUACGUGGAAGACAAGCAAGAGAAAGUGAAAUCGAGGUUGGGAAAGUGCCAAGCAUGAAACAAUAGCAGCCUUCUCCUCCUCGCAACUUUCACAAGACCAAGCACAUGUAAUUAACUCUUCCAUCUGUAUCUUCAGGUUUGAAUUAAAAUGAAUCGAGUUGAAUGGAGUGGCCUGGACUCAAGAUGAAAGAGAUGACUCUGUGGCAUGGUGUCUGGAAGAUUAGGUGUCACUUAUGGAAACUCAAGAAUGCACCCUAGAAGCAUCUAUGGGACCAGAGCAUCAGUUAAUCUUGUUGCUAGUGAUGACAAGAUGGCUUGUGGACCCCGAGGUUUCCUCUUAUCCUUGAAUAUCUGCUAUUAUUCCAAAAUGCCUAAAGGGUAAAGUCACAGAGCUGGCAUGCUCUGUGAACAAUUCCUAUGUAAAAUGAGUAGCAGGGAGACUGCAGUUAACCCAUGGGAACUUACACAUGUGAGAGUUGAAAGGUAACACUCCAGAGAAGUGAGAGCUACUAUUAAAUAAGACACAACUGCUUUGAGUUCAGUUCACUAUAAGGAUACUUCCAGAAAAGCAGCAGAAUGGAAUGCUCCCAUAACUGCUUCGUGCAAUUAUAGAGUACUGAGUGGACAGGACAGGAGGGACAGGGAAAGGGUUAAUUUAGUGAGAAAUGCAGAGAUGAAACAAUUGUCAGAAUAAAGGUAGUACCUGGUCAGAUUUUUUUUCCAAAAUAUAUUGGAGGGAGAAAAAAUUUUAGUAAUGUCAUACAUAAAGAAGAUAAUCCAAGUGAAACUUAGACUUCUAAAACUUUGCUGCAGAUUGAGAAAAAAUUGACUUGGAUAUAACAAUGGUCUGUGUUUAGGAAAGGAAAUACCCAGUGUGGACUGCUAGGGGACAAAAGCAGCUGAGAUCCCACCAGUGAGGACCAGCCCAAUAUAGUCAUUGACAAAGAAGACAUCUGCAGUGGACUGGACCCACAACCAGGCAGAGGUUUUCAUGAAUUUUUUAGGAAGGGAAAAUUAGGAAUUAAAAUGAGAGUUGCAUUUACAUACAAUUUGACUUUGCUAAAUAUAGUUUUGUUUACAUUAUACAGAGAGCUCAACAAGCCAGAGUUUCUGUUUUGCUAGGGUCCUGGCAAAUAAAUGAUUACAGACUCCAAUCAAGUAAUUGGAGGAGUGUUCAAUAGAGAAAAUGAUUUCAAAGAUAAAGGGAAAAAUCAAGAAAUAGAGAGCAGUGGAGUAGUGACAGGGUUACCCAUUACCAUUUCUAGGAAUAAAGGGCAGAGAGAAAAAAUAGUCACCAGCAGUAAAGAAGAAAAAUACUCAAUGUGGGCCAUUUCAUAGACCAUCUCAUCUUCUGAUGAGAAUGUAGGAGGUGGAGCACCAUGAGUUCAGGAGGGUGAGGACGGUAGCAAGGCUUUUCUCCUCUCUUCUGCUUUUUCCUGUGGCCCCACUGGUUGACUCCAACAGGAGCCAGAGCCUGUAGGAGUCCACUGCUGUAGGGGGUACAGGUUAGCCUCUCAAGGCAAAGGUGGGGUGAGGAAGAGGAGUGAACAAAUCCAGAGACAAGAUUGCCUGCAACAAGGUCCCCCUAGGCACUCAGCAACCACAUUGUCCAGCAGACAUUGAAAACUUAUGAUUUCAAGUUGUCAGUGCAUCAUGGGGGUAACACUAAUUCCUUCAUUCUACACUAAACUUAAAAUAUUAGGCAAUAGUCAUGGUAUAAAUUAGUGGAAAACAGGGAACACAAGUCAUCAUAAACUUUAGCUUCCUUCAUCUUGCUUUAAUUGCUGGUGGUGAGGCAGAAUUUGCCAUCACCUUUGCCAUCUAUUAAGGUCCCUCGUGCCUUCUGCCUGCACCUUGACUGGAGAGGCGGUGGCCUGAAACUUCGUCCCCAUAGGUGUGUGUCCUACUUGUCUUUUUGAGGGGAUUUAAGUAGAUUCAAUUUUCUAAUCAUUAGUUCUGAUGGGUAAAAGGGAACUAAGAGGUGUCCUUGAGGACCUCCUGCAUUACAAGCACCAUCCGCCUUUUGUUCAUUGAUGACAGCAAUCGUCCACACAGAGCAGUCACCUGUCAUUGAUCCUGGCAGCCCAGGAUCCAUCAACCAUGUCAAGCAGUCACCCUUCUCUGCCUGUUGGCACAGCUGUGCGGGAACCCUGCAUGGCUGAGGGGGAAGAAUCAGCUUGAAUUUCAAGGGAAUCAGGGUUAGUAUCUUGUUGACAGGUGUUUCUCCUUUGGCAUUAGGAUCUCUAAAUACAUAAGCCUUUGGAGUUAACCAGCAGAUGUCAUUAGUAUUAAGUGCCCAUUACUGCAUUGUUCUUGCCUUAAAAUGUGUCACCUGGUUGAAGGUCCUAUUCUGAGGGGUACUGUACUAGGUUUCCAGACAUAUAUAACAAAGUACCACAAAUGGAGCGGUUUAGAAAACAGAAACUUAUUUUCUCACAGAUCUAACAGUCCAAAGUUCAAGAUCACCUGUCAGCAGUACCAUGCCUCCUGGGAAGGCCGUGGGGAAGAAUCUGUUCCAGGCCUCUCUCCUAGCUUCUGGUGGUUCAUGGCUUGUGUCAACAGACCUCCAAUUUCUACAUGGUAUUCUUUCUCUGUGUGUAUGUCUCCUUCCAUGCACAAAUUAGUCUUUUUCUAUAAGGACACAGUUACAACAUUGCAUAAAUGGACAACCAUGCACCCAUGUGACUUUACCUUACUAAACUGAUUGUAUCUGCUAUAAUCCUAUUUCCAAAUAAGGUUAUACUCUGAGGCAUAGGGGGGUCAAGACUUCAACAUAUGAAUUUUAAGGGAUACAAUACAGUUCAACCCAUGGCAGGUGCCAUAGCAAUCAAUAUGUCUAUUUUUCCUUCCACACCAAGUAUUUGAGUCCAUCACCUGAAGUACCCCUGGAAGAAUUACUUUCUUGUAGCAAAAUGGAAGGCCUCCAUCACAGUUACAACUCCAUGAGGUCAGAGCAUUUUAAAUGACCACUUCUGUUAUCUUUAUGAGGUCCUGAAUUACAAGAUCCUUCCAAGUACUCAUUGUAUAUAAACACCAAGGUUGAGGACCACUAGACCAGGUAAAUAGCCUGCUAUUGAAUUUUUAUUUAAGGAGUCUUCUUUCUGCCUGUGUAUAUACUGUGUAACAUGCAUUUCUUAUGAAAGUUGAAAAUCUUGCUGAAGCAAUUCUGAAUAGAUGAAAAUAGACUCAAAUGAAAGGACAACUUUGCUUUUUAUUAGAGCCAUUCUUUCAGUAGAAGCAGUGAUAGAUAGAAGAUAGAUAGAUAGAUAGAUAGAGCUUUCUCAUUGGGGACAGUUCUAGGAACAGCUCCUCAAAGGCUUUAUGCUUUUAUUAUCAGCUCUGUGGUCAUGUUUAACAUUAAGUAAUUUUUCAAAUACCAGCAUACAUUCAUGUGCAUACACAUACAUGCAUGCUUACAUAGGACAUAAAUGGCUAUUUAUGUGACAUAUGAUUUGAGUGACAAUAAAACUUUUUUUGUCUUAGA
This is a long non-coding RNA of Sciurus carolinensis (gray squirrel), 4298 nucleotides long. RefSeq lists it as uncharacterized. The transcript has 3 exons. NCBI's taxonomy places the organism in Eukaryota, Metazoa, Chordata, Mammalia, Rodentia, Sciuridae. The record is from RefSeq and is a predicted model, not a curated record.